UUUCACAGACCUGUAGCAGUUACUGUCUGCUGCUGAGGUUUCUACUACAAGAGCAGAAAAAUAAAAGUGUCUUCCUAUUUUCUGUCUGCCUGACUUUGGCAGCCAAAAUUAAUAGAAAAUUCCAGAG
Molecule: small nucleolar RNA, 127 nt
Filed under: Jaculus jaculus (lesser Egyptian jerboa)
Lineage: Eukaryota; Metazoa; Chordata; Mammalia; Rodentia; Dipodidae
Description: Small nucleolar RNA SNORA31 (ENSJJAG00000008298.1)
Source: RNAcentral